AUAAACGGCUGGGGGCGCACUUUACGUGCUGAGAGAUAAAAUUAUCGACCCUUCGAACCUGUAGGUUAGUACCUGCGCAGGGAAGUCUGAGCUGAUAUAU
Molecule: non-coding RNA, 100 nt
Filed under: Jeotgalicoccus saudimassiliensis
Lineage: Bacteria; Bacillati; Bacillota; Bacilli; Caryophanales; Staphylococcaceae
Also listed under: 1 other name
Description: TPP riboswitch aptamer (THI element)
Rfam family: TPP riboswitch aptamer (THI element)
About the family: Vitamin B(1) in its active form thiamin pyrophosphate (TPP) is an essential coenzyme that is synthesised by coupling of pyrimidine and thiazole moieties in bacteria.
Source: Rfam by way of RNAcentral